This 65-nucleotide transfer RNA is filed under the name Hemithyrsocera vittata. RNAcentral describes it as "tRNA-Phe". Lineage: Eukaryota; Metazoa; Arthropoda; Insecta; Blattodea; Blattellidae. The record is from RNAcentral.
AUUCUUAUAGCUUAUUUAAGAGCAUAGUAUUGAAGAUACUGAGGAGAUUUAUUAAUCUUUGAAUA